This 415-nucleotide ribosomal RNA is filed under the name uncultured bacterium. RNAcentral's name for it is "bacterial SSU rRNA". It matches the Rfam family "Bacterial small subunit ribosomal RNA", at positions 30 to 447 of the family's 1533-position model. The record is from RNAcentral.
AUUGAACGCUGGCGGAAUGCUUUACACAUGCAAGUCGAACGGCAGCACGGGGCAACCUGGUGGCGAGUGGCGAACGGGUGAGUAAUACAUCGGAACGUGCCCAAUCGUGGGGGAUAACGUAGCGAAAGUUACGCUAAUACCGCAUACGAUCUACGGAUGAAAGCGGGGGAUCGCAAGACCUCGCGCGAAUGGAGCGGCCGAUGUCAGAUUAGGUAGUUGGUGGGGUAAAGGCUCACCAAGCCAACGAUCUGUAGCUGGUCUGAGAGGACGACCAGCCACACUGGAACUGAGACACGGUCCAGACUCCUACGGGAGGCAGCAGUGGGGAAUUUUGGACAAUGGGCGCAAGCCUGAUCCAGCCAUUCCGCGUGCAGGAUGAAGGCCUUCGGGUUGUAAACUGCUUUGUACGGUAACG